RNAcentral lists this ribosomal RNA (497 nucleotides) under uncultured bacterium. Its description in RNAcentral is "partial 16S ribosomal RNA". It matches the Rfam family "Bacterial small subunit ribosomal RNA", at positions 28 to 507 of the family's 1533-position model. The record is from RNAcentral.
GAUGAACGCUGGCGGCGUGCCUAAUACAUGCAAGUCGAGCGAACAGACGAGGAGCUUGCUCCUCUGACGUUAGCGGCGGACGGGUGAGUAACACGUGGAUAACCUACCUAUAAGACUGGGAUAACUUCGGGAAACCGGAGCUAAUACCGGAUAAUAUAUUGAACCGCAUGGUUCAAUAGUGAAAGACGGUUUUGCUGUCACUUAUAGAUGGAUCCGCGCCGCAUUAGCUAGUUGGUAAGGUAACGGCUUACCAAGGCAACGAUGCGAAGCCGACCUGAGAGGGAGAUCGGCCACACUGGAACUGAGACACGGUCCAGACUCCUACGGGAGGCAGCAGUAGGGAAUCUUCCGCAAUGGGCGAAAGCCUGACGGAGCAACGCCGCGUGAGUGAUGAAGGUCUUCGGAUCGUAAAACUCUGUUAGUAGGGAAGAACAAAUGUGUAAGUAACUAUGCACGUCUUGACGGUACCUAAUCAGAAAGCCACGGCUAACUACGUG